Non-coding RNA from Elgaria multicarinata webbii, 424 nucleotides. Lineage: Eukaryota; Metazoa; Chordata; Lepidosauria; Squamata; Anguidae. The record is from the annotation of a RefSeq genome assembly.
CCACAAGUGACUUGCUAAAAUGGACCAGAAUGGCUUCUGGCACUUGCUUUAUUUCAUGGCAUUUUUUUCAGGUGUGAAGCUUGAAAUCCGCCUGGUCCAGUCUGGCGAUGAAGUGAAACAACCAGGAGAUUCCGUAAAGAUUUCUUGCAAAGUAUCUGGUUACACAUACACCAGCAAUGGGAUGAUCUGGGCAAGGAGGAGGUCGGGAAAAGGGUUGGAAUGGGUGUCUUCCAUUACCAAUGGCAAUGGAGACACUCAGUAUUAUGAUAACAUUUUCAAAGAACGGUUCAUCAUCUCUAGAGACAACCCCAACAACUUACUGUUCCUUGAAAUAAGAAGCCUGAAGCGUGAAGAUACUUCCGUGUAUUACUGUGCAAGAUGGGCAGGUUCCACAGUGAGGAAGGAAGACAGCUGGGCCCUAUAA